Molecule: ribosomal RNA, 770 nt
Filed under: uncultured bacterium
Lineage: Bacteria
Description: bacterial SSU rRNA
Rfam family: Bacterial small subunit ribosomal RNA
Source: RNAcentral
AGAGUUUGAUCCUGGCUCAGGACGAACGCUGGCGGCGUGCUUAACACAUGCAAGUCGAGCGGAAAGGCCCUUCGGGGUACUCGAGCGGCGAACGGGUGAGUAACACGUGAGGAACCUGCCCUGGACUUUGGGAUAACCCUCGGAAACGGGGGCUAAUACCGAAUACGACACGAUCUCGCAUGGGAUUGUGUGGAAAGUUUUUCGGUCUGGGAUGGUCUCGCGGCCUAUCAGCUUGUUGGUGGGGUAAUGGCCUACCAAGGCGACGACGGGUAGCCGGCCUGAGAGGGCGACCGGCCACACUGGGACUGAGACACGGCCCAGACUCCUACGGGAGGCAGCAGUGGGGAAUAUUGCACAAUGGGCGGAAGCCUGAUGCAGCGACGCCGCGUGAGGGAUGACGGCCUUCGGGUUGUAAACCUCUUUCAGCAGGGACGAAGCGCAAGUGACGGUACCUGCAGAAGAAGCGCCGGCCAACUACGUGCCAGCAGCCGCGGUAAGACGUAGGGCGCGAGCGUUGUCCGGAUUUAUUGGGCGUAAAGAGCUCGUAGGCGGCUUGUCGCGUCGACUGUGAAAACCCGCGGCUCAACCGCGGGCCUGCAGCCGAUACGGGCAGGCUAGAGUUCGGUAGGGGAGACUGGAAUUCCUGGUGUAGCGGUGAAAUGCGCAGAUAUCAGGAGGAACACCGAUGGCGAAGGCAGGUCUCUGGGCCGAUACUGACGCUGAGGAGCGAAAGCGUGGGGAGCGAACAGGAUUAGAUACCCUAGUAGUCC